RNAcentral lists this ribosomal RNA (253 nucleotides) under uncultured bacterium. RNAcentral's name for it is "partial 16S ribosomal RNA". It matches the Rfam family "Bacterial small subunit ribosomal RNA", at positions 524 to 776 of the family's 1533-position model. The record is from RNAcentral.
UACAGAGACUGCAAGCGUUAUUCGGAUUCACUGGGCGUAAAGGGUGCGCAGGCGGCCGAGUGUGUGAGGCGUGAAAUCCCCGGGCUUAACCUGGGAAUGGCAUUUGGGACUGCAAGGCUCGAGUGCGGCAGAGGAGACUGGAAUUCCUGGUGUAGCAGUGAAAUGCGUAGAUAUCAGGAGGAACACCGAUGGCGAAGGCAGGUCUCUGGGCUGACACUGACGCUCAUGCACGAAAGCGUGGGGAGCAAACAGG